This 81-nucleotide small nucleolar RNA is filed under the name Sorghum bicolor (sorghum). RNAcentral describes it as "snoRNA SNORD34". It matches the Rfam family "Small nucleolar RNA SNORD34". Rfam says of the family: snoRNA U34 is found in intron 5 of the ribosomal protein L13a gene in humans. U34 is a member of the C/D class of snoRNA which contain C (UGAUGA) and D (CUGA) box motifs, and functions in directing site-specific 2'-O-methylation of 25S rRNAs. The record is from Rfam by way of RNAcentral. Lineage: Eukaryota; Viridiplantae; Streptophyta; Magnoliopsida; Poales; Poaceae.
GUUGCCAAUGAUGAGUUGCGAAAUUGCCUACAUUGUUUGACAAACAUCCCUGUGAUAAUAAUUGCAACUGCUGAGGCAUAC